Molecule: long non-coding RNA, 578 nt
Filed under: Ananas comosus (pineapple)
Lineage: Eukaryota; Viridiplantae; Streptophyta; Magnoliopsida; Poales; Bromeliaceae
Description: long non-coding RNA (ACOM_LNC014793)
Source: RNAcentral
GGCAAUUACUGACCUUAGCUCUAUGCACCAUUAGGCCCCGAAAGAAAAGGGUAAGUACAAUAAUAAUAGCAAUAAUGACUGCGAUAUAAAGGCGUAAUUAAAAUGCUAAAUUACCAAACUCAAGUAUAAACGAUGUCAUGGUGAUGUACAUCUACGAUAUCCAAAUAGUAUGUCAUUAACCUUUAUGAAUACAUUAUGCAUAAGUUCUGUCAUGGCAACCAAGUAUGCUCUAAUGCAAAAGGAGACUAUCAAGUAUACUACAUGUCUCAACCCUAUGCUAUAAGCAUGUAAAUGUAAUCCAACUACUAAACCUACCUAGUAGUGAUUGUUCAUAUACAACACCGUGUCGAUUUCCAUUUCCAAUUAAGGACCUACCAAAGGUAGUCCAGCUUGUGCCGCCUAAGUGCCUGUGGUAGCCCAACAUUCCUACUCUUGGAAUGUGUCUGUCCCACUCGACCCCGUAGGCUUCUCAAUACCGCACGAGCGAACAUAAGUCGCUAGGCUAACUCCGGAGUGCCGGCUUGUGGGGAGCGACCCUCACAAGCAUGUGCGAAUAAGCACAAAUGGCAAGAAAGCAU